This 612-nucleotide ribosomal RNA is filed under the name uncultured archaeon. RNAcentral's name for it is "bacterial SSU rRNA". It matches the Rfam family "Archaeal small subunit ribosomal RNA", at positions 1 to 621 of the family's 1478-position model. The record is from RNAcentral.
UCCGGUUGAUCCUGCCGGAGGCUACUGCUAUUGGGAUUCGACUAAGCCAUGCGAGUCUAUGGACUUCGGUCCAUGGCGGACGGCUCAGUAACACGUGGUUAACCUACCCUUAGGUGGGGGAUAACCUUGGGAAACUGAGGAUAAUACCCCAUAGGAAAAGAGGUUUGGAAUAAUCCUUUUCUGAAAGGACAUCCGCCUAAGGAUGGGACUGCGUCUGAUUAGGUAGUUGGAGGGGUAAUGGCCCACCAAGCCUACAAUCAGUACGGGCCUUGAGAGAGGGAGCCCGGAGAUGGGGACUGAGACACGGCCCCAGGCCCUACGGGGCGCAGCAGGCGCGAAACCUCCACAAUGCACGAAAGUGCGAUGGGGGGAUCCCAAGUGCUUAUGCAAAGCAUAAGCUUUUCCCAAGUCUAAACAACUUGGGGAAUAAGGGCUGGGCAAGUCCGGUGCCAGCAGCCGCGGUAACACCGGCGGCCCAAGUGGUAGCCACUCUUAUUGGGCCUAAAGCGUCCGUAGCCGGUUUAGUAAGUCUCUGUUUAAAUCCUACGGCUUAACCGUAGGGCUGGCAGAGAUACUGCUAGACUUGGGACCGGGAGAGGAAGAGGGUACUUC